Molecule: ribosomal RNA, 443 nt
Filed under: uncultured bacterium
Lineage: Bacteria
Description: bacterial SSU rRNA
Rfam family: Bacterial small subunit ribosomal RNA
Source: RNAcentral
CACGGGGGGAACGCGAAGAACCUUACCUGCCCUUGACAUCCGAAUGACCGGUGAGUAAUGUCACCUUUCCUUCGGGACAUUCGAGACAGGUGGUGCAUGGUUGUCGUCAGCUCGUGUCGUGAGAUGUUGGGUUAAGUCCCGCAACGAGCGCAACCCUUAUCUUUAGUAGCCAGCGGUAUGGCCGGGCGCUCUAGAGAGACUGCCAGGGAUAACCUGGAGGAAGGUGGGGAUGACGUCAAAUCAUCAUGCCCCUUAUGCUUAGGGCUACACACGUGCUACAAUGGGUGGUACAGAGGGCAGCCAAGUCGUGAGGCGGAGCUAAUCCCUUAAAGCCAUUCUCAGUUCGGAUUGUAGGCUGAAACUCGCCUACAUGAAGCUGGAGUUACUAGUAAUCGCAGAUCAGAAUGCUGCGGUGAAUGCGUUCCCGGGUCUUGUACACACCG